RNAcentral lists this long non-coding RNA (366 nucleotides) under Homo sapiens (human). Its description in RNAcentral is "HSALNT0080668". Lineage: Eukaryota; Metazoa; Chordata; Mammalia; Primates; Hominidae. The record is from RNAcentral.
UGGAGACGUGAGUCUUGCUGAAGCUCCCAGCCGAAUAAAGCCCCUCCUUCUUUAACUCGGUGUCUGAGGGGUUUCGUCUGCGGCUUGUCCUGCUACAAAAUGUGGAAAGUGGGACAAUCACGCCCUUGUGAAACAACAAUCGCAGCACUUCAGCCUUCCUGGGUCUGGUCCUCAGGCUGUGAGUGAUGUGCCUUAGGGGCAGGAGGAAAGUCAAGUCCUCCUGGGCCUUGGAUGACUCCCUUGCAAGAAUACAUUCUGUGAGUUGAGACCAGAAGCAGCAACCAGAAUAACUAGAUGAUUACUCUUCUCUUCAUGUGGUCAAAGUAUUUAUAGUAUUUGCUUAAUAAAACUCAUGAAAUCUCUGAG